GGGCUGGCAGUGAAAGGCUGCCCAUUUCCCUGGGGAGACACCACAGGCCCUCUGUGCCCAGGCACCUGGGGCAAGGUGAAGGGGAACCCAAGGAUCAAAACCAGCUGAGUAACAUUGGUAUAAAAAUAGCAGACUGUCCAUGAGGGGAUGGGAUGCUUUGCCUACUGCUGUGUGACUAGAGGAUAGGUAAGAAUAAGGAGGAAGAAUAGAAGAGGAAGGAUGAAUACUUUAUUAAUAUUGUUAUUUUUCUAGUUUUUUCCCUCAGAUAUCUUUGUGUGACUCUGGCUGAAUUAGGUGGGAGAAGCAGUUGUGGUUUUGGGAGUAAAAUUUGCGUCAUUAGGCAUUGUCUGAAACAGCCCAGCAAAGUAAAGGCUGGUAAAAGCUUACUGUUGUCCAGAUAAGUAAUAAAAAGCCAGCUCCUUGAGGAUAGAUAUGUACUUAUACAGGGGAUGAGGCCUUAUUCUGCAGAGGGAAGGUGUUGGAGCUGUGCAUCAGGUCUCCUCUCCCUCUUGGUGGUCCCUGCUACCUCCGUUGGAGCUGGAGAUGGCAGUGCCGCUGACACAGACUGAGAACCAAAGACAUACUAUCUUCUUUGCACAGUUUUGGUCAGGCAUGAUUUGUGGAAAACUGUAUCCUGGGCCUUACUGGACCAGACAGUGAGAAAGGGUGAGACAAGACACUUUAGAGAUGAGAGUUUCACCCCCUGCCACAACCCUGUUGCUCUCACAGACACAGGGAUGUUCCAUGAACCUUACAGCUCUACUCCUACGCCAGAAAAAAGGGCAGCGAGCCACGUAACCUGACAUACCUGCUUCCCCUCAUUCCAUUUGGACUCUUGUCUCCGUGUGUGGCCACUGAUGAUUGAGAAACUGUGGUGCUCAUUCCCUUUGCAGACAUCUCCAUUGCCUCUUAUAGGACUACUGCCUGGCAAAAGCCCUCCAGAAAGUGGAGAUGCCAAAAUAGAGACAUGCAUCCUUGCUUUGCCAAGGUGCAGAUGGCAGCCUGGUGCCACACAGUACUUUUGCUGAUUCUCUUUCUGGAGUGGUUGCAGAUGGUGGAAAACAAAAGGAUGCUCUCCUUGGGGAACUGCCUACAGACAUCCCACACAGAAACCCUUGGGAAGUGGAGUGGGAGGCAGGAUGCUGUGUAAUCAACCCUUGAUACCACCCUGUGGUGCACCUAGACACAAGCACAGGAUGUGUCCUCGGGUUAAUUCAACAAAAAGACCAUUGUGGGCUCACAUAUGAUCCACAUCAAAUCCUGGACAGCUGGCGGGGCACAGAUCUGGGAUUAAUAACUGUGGAUCCCCCGCACUGGAAAGGUGCAUAGUAGUGGUAGCUCAGGGACCCUGGCAGCUCUGAGGAACUGCUGUGUGAUGGCUGCCUUCUCAGUAAGAGGAUUAGCUAUAAUUAAAUGAUGCUGGCUUUAUUAAUUAAAUGGCUCUGUUCAAAUGAUCCUUUCACUGCUUUGGGGCAGGGUUUUCAGAAGUGCUCAGCCUUGCCCUAACCGCUCUUGCAGACAGUCGUCAGGAGUUGUACCAGCACCGCCAAGGAGACCAUAGAC
Molecule: non-coding RNA, 1563 nt
Organism: Anas platyrhynchos (mallard)
Lineage: Eukaryota; Metazoa; Chordata; Aves; Anseriformes; Anatidae
Source: RefSeq, a predicted model, not a curated record